Molecule: long non-coding RNA, 4545 nt
Organism: Numida meleagris (helmeted guineafowl)
Lineage: Eukaryota; Metazoa; Chordata; Aves; Galliformes; Numididae
Exons: 4
Source: RefSeq, a predicted model, not a curated record
GGUACCCUGCACCUACAAACACAUUCCUCAAGGCUUGCACAUCUCUGCAUCUUAAGAGGCUUAGCAGAUUCAACAUCUUCACAAGGAAAUUCUAAACAAAAAUUAUGCUCCAGUUGCUUCAUAUGAGCAUAUUGCAAGUUGCUUUUCCAUUCUUUUUCAAGAACUGUAUUGAACUUAAAACUAAGUAAAUGAAAAAAUAUGUACAAUUGGGAAAAGAUCCAUUAGAAUUAAAUUACAGUUAUUGGAAACUACUGACACACUUCAAAUAUUUCUAGUUCUCCCUUUCUUAUUUCUUUUCUUUCUUUCAAUAUAUAAUGGACUUGUUCAGUAAGUGAAACAGACUGCUUCAGUAGCCCAUCAUGCACUUUGUUUUUGCUAACCUUUUGUCUGCUUUUAUAUCUUGCCACUUUAGCAAGGAGAGGUAUGGCAAAAGCCUUCUUUCAGACUGUUUUUCAUUUAAACUUGCUGCAGAUUAUUUGACAGGUUUUGUUUGUCCCAAGUGCAUCUCCAGGUUCAUUGUAAUGGAUACCAGAGUCUUUGACAGCACUGGUAAGUAAAACAUGGGGUGUCUAUGGGAUGUUUAGAUACUCAACAGUAGCUUCUAAACUUCCAGGCAUGACCUUGGCUAUACAGCAUCCCUCUUACCCCUGUAACAUUUUACACAGUUUCACAUGCAUUCUCCUUUUUUUUUUUUUCCUUACAAAGUAAUAUAAAACUACUUCCCCACUCUUUUAAAUGUCAAAGAUACACACUGGGGAUAACACAGGAAAAGGUUUUGUUUAAAAUGGUCUCAGCAACACUGAAGCAACUAAUGUUUUAUUAUGUUGCCUGGUGAACUAACCCUAGAGCAAAUAAUGCAGGAAGAUGAAUAUGUUUUGAAGGCCUUUGAGAACAAUGACUAUUAUUCAAAUGUAUCCUAACUGCAGAAACAUGCCUAAAAAAUAAAUCUUUUAUUUACACAGAGAGAAUACAUAAAGCGUUCAUUAUCUUUUAGAAAAGUUUCAUUGCUUACUUUAUAUGUGAGCCAAAAAACCUACCUCUGUAUUUAUGCUAGUCUAAAUAUUUCAUAAACUCUCCUGCUAUAAUCUUGACGGUUUGAUUUCCAAGCUUACCGUUGGUAUUUAGAGCCAGAGUUUCACUGAUGUUCAAGAACAUGCGCGUGGUUUGUGUCACAGCUGUCUCCAUGUGUAGGAGAUGAAGUAAGUCUCUGUCCAUACCUUAGAUACUGUGCCCACCACUUAAAUUUCAGCAUGCCAUUGCAAUGGAGUUUCUUAGCACAGAGAUGCAAAUAAUAUCCCUUCAAGAUGUUUCAUAGCUGAGCUCCAAUCACACAAAGCAACAUAUACUUUUCAUUACUGAUAUCGUACGUUCUUUCUCAGAAUCUGUUAUGAAAUUUUUCUGUAAGUCAACGUAUUUCUUCUCCCUCCCCAAACAAUACAAAAUAGUAAGAGAAUAAUAGUUGUUGAGGGUAAAAAGAAUACUAGACUUGGCUGCAUGUGUCUUAUUUUUAAAGCUUUGUUGGAUGCAUGUAGAAUGUGUGCUUUUUGUUUAAGUGUUCUUAGUUUGAAAGAGUGAGAUGGAUUGUACUUUUCUCCAUUACUGUCUUUUUGGUGCAUCUUCACAUAGGAAUGUGUUUGUCUCUUGGGAAGUUGGCAGUGUAAGUGACUGAAAAACUAGCUAAUAAAUCUGGGAUUAAUAGGGCUGUAGACAGCAAAGUACACAGGCGUAGGAAGGAUCACCAGCCACUGAAUGCUGCACAUCUAGAAACUGUCAAUAGAGAGUAUGAAAAAUGCAAAGGACAAAGCAAAACUAGGAGAAGUUCCAGCUCGUUUUUCUGCUUGCUGAAGCAAUCUCUCACAUCAGCAUAUCCUGGUCCCCUAGGGAAGAGUUGUUCUAAGGGCUUGAUCUUGCUUCUAUUCACAGCUGAAAAAAGUCUCCUUUUAACCUGAAGUGGAUAGGAUCAGAUCUUUAAAGAUCGUCUCUCCGAAAAUAAAACCAGCAAAAGUAACAAUGCUUAAUGUUAUACUAUACUCUGUAUACAAAAUAGCUCUCUAUUCUUAUGUCAAAAUAUGCUCAAAUUAAUUUAGAGGUAUUUAGAAAUGGGUAUUAGAUCUUCAAAGCUGAUUAUUCCAGUUCUCUUAAUUAGUGGACCAAACGACUGAUACAGCUGCUGUGCACUUGUGAUAUUGAGGACAAUUUCUAUCUGAGGGGGAAACAUGAUGAAAUUUUCUGUGUGCUGAAUUAAAUCUCUUGAAGUUGAUUGUGGCCAGGAAUGUAAGUAAAUCAGCAUGGUGCUCUUGAAUUCAGUGGAGCCAUACUGUUGGCUGUUACCUGUGAUUGAUUGUCAUUGAAUAAUGCAAUGAAAUUCUUUGUUUAUUAACACAAGUAUAAAACAAGAAAGGGAGAAAAGCUGCUACCUUUCUACAAAAACUGGUCAAAGAAAUGAGAAUUACCAAAGGUUUGUGUCUUUGAUGUACUCUCCUUUUACCUAAAGCUGUCAUAAAUACCAACAAACAAACCUAUGAACCUCACAGGAACAUGGGUACAUCUACAGAAUUCUUCAUUGUUUGGAAGGGCGAUGUGAAGGGAGGUACUCAGGGUGUCAGGUGAGCACAGCACCUCAUUUACUAUUGCAUAAGUAAUCCUGCUGAUUAUAGACUAAAUGAAGUGUGUGGUUAAGUGCCAGAUUGUUCCGGUGUCAAAAUCUCCGCUUAAGUGGAAUAUAUGUAUUUAAGUUUUGCAGUGAUCUUGUGCUCCUGGGACUUAGUAGAUUCCACUUAGAUCAGCUGAGCAGCUUCUAUUAUUUUUGGUGGACAUCGUUUAAGGCCUCUGUUAAAAAUUCCUCAUGUCUGGCCAUGCUAAACUGAAAGGGCAGUAUUGAAAGUUAGAGGUGGUCAUGCAACUCACUUUCAGAGAACCCAGAUCCAGAGUGUGCUGGACUCCAUGCUUUUGUUUGCUCUCAGCCUCUCUUAAAUGUAAGGGGAGAGAAUCUUUUUCUAGAAGCACUUAGAACUAGAUAUUAAUCCAUGAACGUGGAGGUAUCAGAAUUCCUCAUUACCCAAAUAUCUGGAAAUUGGCCUUCCUCUGAAGUUCCUACACAAUUUUAGAACAAAUGUGACAAUUAUAUCUGCAAAUGAGGAAAAGUAUGUUCUGCAAUAAGACUCACCUGGACAACAAAGUAAAAUGCUUAAGGAACAACAUUCUUUAAUUUUCAGGCUCACCUUUAGUGGAAUGUGAUUUAGUAGAUUCAUUGUCUACCACUGGCUCAGCCUUUGCUGUCUAAACAUAGGAUGUGCUGGUCAGGUCCAUACAUUCCCUCUCACCAUUAAGGAGAAGCUGGCAGCUCUGAGUGGAGCAGGGUGAAGACAGGUACUGAACUGUGUGCUGGAGGCUGCUGUUGGCUACAGAAGGAGUUUAAGUGACCAGCUGAGGUCAACUUCUAGGUGGGUAAAGCCAGGUGAGAUGCAUACUACCUCUAGCAAAUGAGGAAUGUUGUUGGAAGCCUUUCUCUCUGACCUUCAGGAAAAUACAUGCUAAGAUGCUGCAGUCCAGCUGUCAGCCAGAAGGUUGCAUUCUCACUGAAAGUGGGUUUGAUACUUAAAGGAGAGAUGGAUAAUUAAGACUUCAUCCUCCAAAAUAUUAAAUAUUGAUUUGUAGACAUUUAGAAGCAGGCAUAAAGCUCUCCUGAGAACUGGCAGCAACUGUAAAAGAUUAUAAAAGAUUUUAGUUCUCCGUGUAGAAUUUAGUAUUUAUUUUUUGUUUAAAAUUUAUGAAAUGGGGGUAAAAUAAAUCAGGAGGUAACAUCUGGCCCUCUGAGCACCUCCAAGUCCUGCUCCAUGUGACCAUUCAGAGGCAAAAUGGAUGUAUGUUUUUUUUCAGGUUUGUAUUGGCUUUUGGUUUAUUGAAGUGUCAGGGGGUUUAUAAGCUCUUCAACUCCAAUUUUUAUUGUUUUAUCCAACUACUGUCACUUCUUAUCAGUAUUAAAGGCAGAAAUCAAAGCACAGGACCCAUGGGAAGCGGCGUUUCAAAUGUACUCCAUCGCUUUUCUUUGUCAUUGUUCUGAACUAUGCACCCUCUGCUCCUGACAGCACACCCACAACGAGAUAAGGAGUUUGUAUGAGUAUGCAUAUGUGUCUUCUGUGGGAAAAGGAGCAAUGGCUUGCCCCGCACACUGCCCACCAGAUUGGAAGAAGAUAUAAUGAAUGCAUCUUCUCUGCAUCACAAGAAAAAGGCUAUUUCAACUUAACAGAACAUUUCAAUCUCAGUCAAAAUGGGGCAUCUUCAACAUAAGGUUGUCUGCAGUCAUGCGGUCUGCUCUGCUUCCCCAGCUCACUGGAGCCCACCUCCAGGCAGCCCAGGGCUCGGGAACCCUCUGUGCAGUGCCCUGGAGAACAGAGGGUGCAGCUGAGGAUUGGAGUAUAAAGGAAAAGAAAAGGUAUCUACUGCAGGUGCUCUCCAGCCCACUGAUUGCAUUUUCUUUGUCCUUCUGGAAUAGAGCUGGGUGACAUCUUACAGUCAAAUCCUAUUUCCCAUUAAAAAUGCAGA